CACAGUGAAACUGGUGCUAAAAGUAGCGGAUUCACCUAUCAUAUCUGUUAAAUCAGCACUAAAGAGUAUUAACAACCCAAGGAAUAAGGUGAAGCUGAGCACCAAGGACCACUCUCAAUACUCCCUCGCUCAGAAUGGCCAGUCAAUGGUGAACUUUGUGUUAGAGUUCAGGGAGCUAGCCAAAACUUCCUCACUGGGGGAUUCAAAGCUAAUAGCUUUGUUUCUAGGUGGUUUAGAAGAUCUGUGGUCCUCUAGAAUGCCCAAGAAUCUUCUUAAGGGCCCGCUCAUAGCGUGCCUGUAUUAUGCCCUACAGCUGAGUCGAUCCACUCCAUCCGAUCCUUCGCCACAGUCAUCACCUAUCAUGGCUGCUGAUCAUGAGUCAUCACCAGUCACAGCCGCUGAUCAUCAGACAUCACACAUUAUGGCUGUUGUUCCGGAAGCACCACCUGUUAAGGCCACCAGUACAGAGUCAGUAUUCAAAAUGGCCACCAUCCCAGAGCCUUUCUUAGUGCCCGCUCCAACCCCGGCUCCUCGCAAGUGCUGUGCCGUGCCUGCUCCUCCAGAGUGCCCUCCAGCUCCGCUGCAGAUGUGGAAAACUGCUUUUGUAUGCCUGACUUGUGGAGGAGAGCUCAGUUGUCCUCAUGGUAAAGUUCAUCUGUGUGCCGGCACUAAGCUAUCAGUCCAGGGGUUGAAGAGCACCAUCCAUCCCUGAGCUAUGAAACGCUGCUCUGACCUUGGAAAAGAAAUGGUGGAGAUGGAACGAGAACAACAACAAACUACUGACAACUGGAAAAACAAUAAUGCCUGCAUUGAAGAGCAAUUCAUGUGAGGGGAUUAAAAGUACGCUAGCAAUUAAAAAAACUCUAACAGAGUUCAUAACUUUUGAAGAGAAAAGGCGCAGACACUGGACAAGGAUGAAUAUUUCUAGUGCGCUAUUCAGUGAAGGCUGCGGAUUCGACUAUGAGGUGUACUUUGGGAUAUUUAGGUUGCUAAAUAUAAAAAUUUCAACAGCUGUUGUGUUGUGAAGAUCUGUAUAAUAUUAGUAGUUUAAAAUAAGAUGUAGCUUAUGUUAAUCUCUUCUGAGGUAGACUUUGCAGCAAUGUUUAUUAUAGAGUUAUUGAGUUAUUAUUAUUAAAGAUUACCUUUUGAUACAGUUUGAAGUUCAAUGAUGCAUCAGACUGAGUUUGCAUAGCUAGAAGAAUUUGUUGUUUACAAACUUGUAUAUAUGAUUUAGGCCUAAAUUUCCAGACGGUAACAAGCCACAACAGCAGACUGCAAAUUCUACAGACUGAUGCUUAAUUAAAGAAGACUGCAAUUCAUUUUUCUCCUAUAUGAACCAACAGCUACAGAUGGUCGUCUGCGCCAUAUGAGUUUGCUGGCACAGUCAUCUCUUUCUUGGAUUCAUAAAUUAUUGGUGUUUGUUAAAAUAACUGGAAAUUGCUUGUGUUGCACCAAAAAGUUUCCACUAAAAUAAUGCUUUGCAAAUGUUUAGAUGACUCUGCAAAAAGUCUUAGAUAUAUAUGUUAUUAUGUGUUUUAGUGACCAAGAGUAUGGAAGUAUAUUGAAAUAUGUCACUGUUUUUCAUUACAGUACUGUAUGAAUUACAUAACAUCUAUUAUGCAAGUCUCUGUGAUUGUUUU
Cyprinus carpio carpio is the source of this 1640-nucleotide long non-coding RNA. NCBI's taxonomy places the organism in Eukaryota, Metazoa, Chordata, Actinopteri, Cypriniformes, Cyprinidae. The record is from Ensembl.